RNAcentral lists this unclassified non-coding RNA (2319 nucleotides) under Hevea brasiliensis (rubber tree). The record is from RNAcentral. Lineage: Eukaryota; Viridiplantae; Streptophyta; Magnoliopsida; Malpighiales; Euphorbiaceae.
GGAAGCCAAGCAAGUUCUGUCUACAUCUUCAAAGAAUGCGAGAUCAUCCUCUCCUUAUAGAGUGGGGCCUCCGAGGUCAUUGUCACCCACCCUCAACGAGUUUGCCUUGGAUAAUCCUGCCAUAGGACUCAGAGAAAGGGCCUCACCGUCUCAUACUGCACUUGACUAUGGGUUUAGCAGAGUAAGAGGUAGAGAUGUUGAGAGGAGUGAGUGGCAGAGAAUUUUGCCUGAUGGGGCCAAUCAGCAACCAGACGUUCCUCCUAAAUAUCGCAUAAACAAGGGAAUUGAUCUUCAAGGACCUAGAGCUUUGAUUGAUGCUUAUGGAAUUGAUGAAAGGGAAAAAGUAGCCCAUCUGAGGCAGCAAAAGACUGGGAAUGCCACUAUUAAUGGCUUAGGCAAUGGGUUAGCAGUUAAGACAUGGCAAAAUACCGAAGAGGAAGAGUUUAACUGGGAAGAUAUGAGUCCAACUUUAGCAGAUCAGAGCCCGUUUAAUGAUUUGUCAGCAUCUCUUCGCCAUCCUCAGAGUAUCAGGAUGAGACCUUGUGUUGAUUCACAACAUGCUGGGCCAUUGGUGGCUGAUCCUAGAAGGAACUGGGCUAAUCGAGGGCAAUAUUCUUUAGUUCAUGAUUCUUCCGUGGAUGAUGUUCACUCGUCUGGUCGAGGGGCGAGAAAUAAAAUUACUGGAUAUUGCGAUGAGACAUCUCUGAUUUCAGGUUCACAUUAUCUUCAAAAGCUUCCAGAAAAUGUGCCACAGUUGCCUCUAAGACAUUUAAAGGGUGAAGGAAGUGGAAUCUCAUCAGUGACCGGUGAAUCAAAGCACCCUUUGAUUGGCAAUUUGGCUGCUGAUGGACAUACUUGGAGGCCACCAUAUGUUCCGCCAAGAAUGAAUCCUACUUUUGACUCUUCAGUUCAGGAUGUUCGGGUGGUUACUGGACGGGGCCCUGGUGUACCAUGGCCUCCCCAAAAUGUGCAUACUCCCCAUUCUUUGACUUCAAAACCUGUUGUUCUGCCUCAUAAUCACGUCAGAAGUCCUUAUGAAGUAAAUAAUGCAAGCAAUUCAGUUGUCAAUCAUACUUUGGACAGGCCAGUUCUUCCUGAGCAACAUAUUGAUAAUUUGAAGAGCAGCUCACAUAUCAAGUUUCCACAAUUUCCUAGUCAACACCCCACAUCAUUUUCUACAAGUCAUCAAAAUUCUGAACAAAUGGCUUCAGCAGAACCUCAGCUAUUGCUUUCUCAGCGUAUUCAUCAGACUAUGCCUCCAAGUGCCUCACUUCCAGCCUCAAACCAUUUGCUACCACCAACUUAUAGAUACCCUCUACCGGGUCCUGGUUCUUCUAUAGGUCCUCACUUCCCCCGUCCAGUUUCAGGUCCACAAGUGUCUAUGCCAUUGGUUAAUGUCCCAAAUACGUCAUCACAGUUUUCCUCAGGAGCUUUACCACCUUUUCCCAGAGGCCCACUUCCUAUGCCAUCUAAAUUCAUGCCAGCAUCCCAAAAUCCAGGUCAGGUUACUCCUAACCCUCCAGCAGCAGGCUUUUCAAGCUUGAUUAACUCACUCAUGGCACAAGGUUUGAUUUCAUUGACAAAUCAAGCUCCCGCUCAGGAUCCUGUGGGCCUUGAUUUUAAUCCGGAUCUUCUGAAGGUUCGUCACGAUUCUGCAGUAACUGCUUUAUAUGCUGAUCUUCCAAGACAGUGCACAACUUGUGGCCUACGAUUUAAAUGCCAAGAGGCUCACAGUAGUCAUAUGGAUUGGCAUGUAACCAAGAAUCGAGUAUCGAAAAAUCGCAAGCAGAAGUCUUCUCGUAAGUGGUUUGUAAGCGUCAACAUGUGGCUUAGUGGUACAGAGGCGUUGGGAUCUGAUGCAGUUCCUGGAUUUCUACCGACUGAGCAAGUUGUCGAAACGAAGGAUGAUGAAGAAUUGGCCGUCCCAGCUGACGAUGAGCAGAAUGCUUGUGCACUGUGUGGAGAGCCUUUUGAUGAUUUUUACAGCGAUGAGACUGAAGAAUGGAUGUAUAGGGGGGCUGUCUACAUGAAUGCACCAAGUGGGUCAACAGUUGGAAUGGAAAGGUCUCAGUUGGGUCCAAUUAUUCAUGCGAAAUGCAGAUCUGAAUCUAGUGCUCCACAUGAGGACUCCAGAAAAGUGGAUGAGGGUCCAGAAGAUGAAAGUCAAAGGAAACGAAUGCGGAGUUAGCUUCAUUAAAUCAGCUUCUAGGUGCAUUGUAACUUUAUCUUGAGAUUCCUCCAUGAUAGCAUUUGAGCUUUAGAUUAUUUCUAGGUACCAUGCCAGAAUCAUGUACAUGUACAGGAGUUGUAACAUCAAAG